GUGCCAGCAGCCGCGGUAAGACGUAGGGAGCGAGCGUUGUCCGGAUUCAUUGGGCGUAAAGAGCGCGUAGGCGGCCGUGCAAGUCGGUUGUGAAAUCCCGGGGCUCAACCCCGGGACUGCGUCCGAUACUGCACGGCUCGAGGCAGGUAGGGGAGAGUGGAAUUCCCGGUGUAGCGGUGAAAUGCGCAGAUAUCGGGAGGAACACCGGUGGCGAAGGCGGCUCUCUGGACCUGUCCUGACGCUGAGGCGCGAAAGCUAGGGGAGCGAACAGGAUUAGAUACCCUGGUAGUCC
RNAcentral lists this ribosomal RNA (292 nucleotides) under uncultured bacterium. RNAcentral's name for it is "partial 16S ribosomal RNA". It matches the Rfam family "Bacterial small subunit ribosomal RNA", at positions 505 to 796 of the family's 1533-position model. The record is from RNAcentral.